AAGGAGAAAAGUUUGCCACACAGAGGAUCGGGGAGCAACAAUGAGGAAGGAAAGAAGAGACAGAAGGAAUGCCUGCCUUUAAGGCACUAGUUUCUACACACACAGCCUGCCUCAGAUAUAAUGAAACAGCAGCAAGUUUUUCAGUGAAACUUACCAGUACUGGAGGCCUGCGGUCCUAAAUGCCACAAUGACUAUUAAACAGUGUCCUGCCCAUGAGCAAACAGGAGGGAGGAGAGAUUGAUCGUGCAUCUUUUUCAUCUAAGCUGCUCACCAAAAACAAAGCAUCUGUUGAAGCCACUGACCUUUCACUAACUGCUGGAAGGAAAAUGCUUGAUAAAUAAUAAAUAGACCACUAUUGGAUGUUGCUUAGAACCAUCUUUUAAUUAAAAGAACUGAGCAACCAGAAGGUCAGGUGACUGACAUUUAAGUUCCAGUCCAGGAAGAGCAUCAAUCGAGGGGAAAAUUGUACCCUAAAUGUAAUUUCAUUGUUAGCUCGCAUUCAACAGAAGUCCCCUCUCUGUAAUCUGUUCAGAUGGGGGGCGGUGCUGGUGACGCUUGGUAGGGGACAAAACACUUCACUUCCUGCCUCCUUCGCCUUCCCCUGGCAACCUUUUCGUUUCUGUGCUGCAGC
RNAcentral lists this long non-coding RNA (631 nucleotides) under Equus caballus (horse). Its description in RNAcentral is "lncRNA (ENSECAG00000052170.1)". The record is from RNAcentral. Lineage: Eukaryota; Metazoa; Chordata; Mammalia; Perissodactyla; Equidae.